AUGAACGCUGGCGGCGUGCCUAAUACAUGCAAGUCGCGCGAACAGACGAGGAGCUUGCUCCUCUGACGUUAGCGGCGGACGGGUGAGUAACACGUGGAUAACCUACCUAUAAGACUGGGAUAACUUCGGGAAACCGGAGCUAAUACCGGAUAAUAUAUUGAACCGCAUGGUUCAAUAGUGAAAAACGGUUUUGCUGUCACUUAUAGAUGGAUCCGCGCCGCAUUAGCUAGUUGGUAAGGUAACGGCUUACCAAGGCAACGAUGCGUAGCCGACCUGAGAGGGUGAUCGGCCACACUGGAACUGAGACACGGUCCAGACUCCUACGGGAGGCAGCAGUAGGGAAUCUUCCGCAAUGGGCGAAAGCCUGACGGAGCAACGCCGCGUGAGUGAUGAAGGUCUUCGGAUCGUAAAACUCUGUUAUUAGGGAAGAACAAAUGUGUAAGUAAUUAUGCACGUCUUGACGGUACCUAAUCAGAAAGCCACGGCUAACUACGUG
This 496-nucleotide ribosomal RNA is filed under the name uncultured bacterium. RNAcentral's name for it is "partial 16S ribosomal RNA". It matches the Rfam family "Bacterial small subunit ribosomal RNA", at positions 29 to 507 of the family's 1533-position model. The record is from RNAcentral.